RNAcentral lists this non-coding RNA (476 nucleotides) under Mesobacillus campisalis. RNAcentral's name for it is "Bacillus campisalis Bacterial small subunit ribosomal RNA". It matches the Rfam family "Bacterial small subunit ribosomal RNA", at positions 1 to 468 of the family's 1533-position model. The record is from Rfam by way of RNAcentral. Lineage: Bacteria; Bacillati; Bacillota; Bacilli; Caryophanales; Bacillaceae.
UUAUUGGAGAGUUUGAUCCUGGCUCAGGACGAACGCUGGCGGCGUGCCUAAUACAUGCAAGUCGAGCGGACUUGAGGGAGCUUGCUCCCGAUGGUCAGCGGCGGACGGGUGAGUAACACGUGGGCAACCUGCCUGUAAGACUGGGAUAACUCCGGGAAACCGGGGCUAAUACCGGAUAAUUCAUUCCCUCACAUGAGGGAAUGCUGAAAGACGGCUUUUGCUGUCACUUACAGAUGGGCCCGCGGCGCAUUAGCUAGUUGGUGAGGUAACGGCUCACCAAGGCCACGAUGCGUAGCCGACCUGAGAGGGUGAUCGGCCACACUGGGACUGAGACACGGCCCAGACUCCUACGGGAGGCAGCAGUAGGGAAUCUUCCGCAAUGGACGAAAGUCUGACGGAGCAACGCCGCGUGAGCGAAGAAGGCCUUCGGGUCGUAAAGCUCUGUUGUCAGGGAAGAACAAGUACCGGAGUAACUG